UACGUAGGGUGCAAGCGUUGUCCGGAAUCACUGGGCGUAAAGGGUGCGUAGGCGGGUCGAUGCGUCGUGCGUGAAACACCCCGGCUCAACUGGGGAGGGUCGUGCGAUACGGUCGGGCUUGAGGCCAGUAGGGGAUGCGGAAUUCCGGGUGUGAGUGGUGGAAUGCGUAGAGAAUCCGGAAGAACACCGGUGGUGAAGGCGGCCUGCUGGGCAGUUGCUGACGCUGAGGCGCGACAGCGUGGGGAGCAAACAG
This 253-nucleotide ribosomal RNA is filed under the name uncultured bacterium. Its description in RNAcentral is "partial 16S ribosomal RNA". It matches the Rfam family "Bacterial small subunit ribosomal RNA", at positions 524 to 775 of the family's 1533-position model. The record is from RNAcentral.